UGGCACAAGCUGGUAAUUCAAAAAGCUUUCCCUUCAACCCCACUGAUAAGCGAAUAUAAUGCCUCACAUUGACCAUGAAGGUACAAUUCAUUCGAUCCAGAAAGGGGCACCAGACCAGGUAUUGAUAUCAUUAUAACAAAUAUUUGUUAUGGUCUAACAUAGUCAAAUCACAGAUAAUUCAGCAAGUUAUAGAUAGAAUUAUACAGAUAAGAAAGUUUAUAGAUUGUUUUAUGUAUUAUUAGGAAAGAGAAAGGAUACAUUACAUCGACGGAGGAUAAGAUAUCCUCCUAGAACCAUCUGAAUAAGAGCUCUGAGAAAAGUAGUGACAGCUGGACCCUCCCAAAAUCAGUGUAUUAUUGGCCCUAGGUGCCCAUUUAACACAGAAGCAAAAAUUAUCAAAAAACUCUUUGUGGGCCUUUGCUCAUAAGAAUGCCAACAGUGUCAUCCUUUCCUACAAAACUUGGGUCAGAAAGGUACAAUCCUAAAAAAUACUGUGAGUUCGUCCUAAUCAUAUCCUCCAUAAAACCACAAAUAAAGCACCUUGCUGGAGAGGUUUAGCUACUUUUCUCAUCCCUUUCAUUGAAGUUCAAAUUAUAAAACACUCCAGUGAAGAAGGAAUAAUCCAAGUCAAACGGAACGUACCAACAAUCUUGUUGGCAAUUUCAAUACCACGUUGCAAUGAAGGAAUAAGUGGUUGUAUGUCUCCCUUUUCCUGCAACACAUAACAGAAUGUUCGGUGAAAGAGCUUGAUUUGGCAUGUGAAUUUGCAGCAACUCAUUAGUGUGUAAUUUGUUUAGAAUAGUGGUCCAUGCAGACACCUUCGCUGUCGAAGGGACUUUAACUUUCCAAAACACAUUGAUAGAAGUAAUAUGCUAUCAGUUGGCAUUAUGGGUUAUGUGAUUAAAGAAAGAUUUACAAGUGUAUAACUCUGAGGAUCUAUUUUUCAAAUGUUGCUACUAGCGUGCUGGGAAUAAUAAAAGGUUUCUCACACUCUUAGCAACAGGGCUAGCACAUCACUGAUCUCAGGGAAUUUAAGUUUCUGGAGGUUCCAAACUACAGGAGACCAUCUCUAUGGCAUAUAAAAUGAGAAUUGGUGUGUUGUGGCUUGAGUAUCAUUGAUCUCGUGGUCACUGACCAUCUCUAUCGCAUAUGAAGUGGAGGUUCCAAACUACAGGACCAUCUCUAUGGCAUAUAAAAUCGGGAUGGGUGUAUACAGAUGGAGAAAACGGAGCUAAUGUGCUAUUGCCUCUCCAAAUAUCCUCCCAGAACAGUACUCUGGAGCCAUCUCCCCCAUUUUACAUGUUUUUCAAACUAGAGAUGACUUUCCAUGGACUUGUUUAUCAUGGAGCUACUAGCUAUAACAUUUCAUUAGUUUCUUUGGUCACCAUGUAUACUUCAUUGCCUUGUGACAUAGUGAACUAGGUUCCUGUGAAAAACAUCAUAGCCAUUUAGUUAAUAUGAUAAGUUAUUGAUAUUAGGUUCAUAAUGCUCAUGCCCGUGUAAGUUUUGAACUGAUAGUAUACUUCCCAAUUCAUCAAAUGAUCCCGAUGUGCCUCCCCUAUAUUGACCCACAAAAGCUUCCUCAUAAUCCCUUCCACUGUCAUGGCUACCCCUCUGGUAUUAUUAAUAGUGAUAAACAAUAGUAGUAUGCUAGACAUGCACCUAUAUUAAGGUGACUUUAGCCCUCAAAGAAAAUAAGCACCCGUGCCAGUACUCUGGCCUUUUCGACAUUUUGUUAACUACUACAUUCCAGAAAGACAUACUCCUAGGAUUACCACAAUGGAACACCUAGAUAAGUAGUUGGCCAUGCUAACUUUGAACAACCUAUUACUUCUGCCAGGUUCUUCACCUCAUCUUUGGCCAUGUUGAUUCCUACCAAUGUGCUAUUGGCUAGGUUAAUGCAUAAUCCUAAGAUGUGCUCAACACCAAGCUAUUAUCAUAUAAUAGAAAUAAAAUCAUUGUGAUCCACGGAUUGAAGCUGAGACACCUUUUACUCUAUUAUCUUCAACAACAAAUCUUUUUACAGACCCUCACAUCAAACCUUUGCCAACUUCCAACUUAAGACACCUACUACCAAGAUAAAAGGAAAUAGUGAGUGGGGUUCCUUUGCCUAAUAUCACUUUCUCCAAGAAGUUGAUUCCUUCGAUUGUAGGCUUUCUAAAAAUCUAGCUUUAGAACUAUCAUUCCUUUGUUUUAUUCAUAUUCUCCACUGUUGCGCCACAACAGAUGCGUUCAGAAUUUGCUAGCCAUUCGUAAAAGCACUCUGAUUAUUAUGUCGUCCAAAACCUCACUAACUCUUAAAGAUAAUCUUGUAUGCACUAGUCAUUAAACCUAUAGGGUGUUGAUUAGAGGAUUUUUUGGAUAUGAGGGUGAUAAAGGUCAAGUUCAUUUAUUACGUACGAUCUCAUUAAGAUAGAGUUUCUCAAACACUUUAUCAAGUCCACCUUAGUUAUAUCCGAACAAGCCUGGAAGAAGGCUAUAGAAAAACUAUUCAGUCCCAGAGCUUUUUUAGUCCCCAAAAAUCCAAGCAGCUUUCAUUAACCUUCACUCCAACCAGUCCGCUUUGGGCAAGUCCAACUUAAUUAUAUCUGAACAAGCCUGGAAGAAGGCUAUAGAAAAACUAUUCAGUCCCAGAGCUUUAUUAGUCCCCAAAAUCCAAGCAACUUUCAUUAACCUUCACUCCAGCCACUCCGCUUUGGGAAUACUAAUAGGCCCCAUUCAGUCCCUUCCAAUAACGGCUGUUACUCACCCUCAUUAUAUAUCUCUUGUAGAAGUUCCUAACCUCCACUUUGGAAAUACUAAUUGGCUUUUGCUCAGUCCCUUCCAAUAACGGCUCUUACUCCUUAUCCUCAUUAUAUAGCUCUUAUAGAAGUUGGUAAUCUCUCUCCCAUUGGCUACCCUCUCCUACUCCAGGACUCUGCUCUCCAGUUAUAGCUCCUUAGUGACCUCUUUUACUACCCUGUGAACCGGUGCACCAAUAUGGAUUGCACAACUCAGGAAGAUAUGAUAGCUCUUCCUUAAAGAACGACGUAUUGGUAUAGGUUGUGGGCCCAUACACGUAUGUAAAACCACCAGCUUCUUUUCCCUUUAAUAUUAAGCAACACUGAUAUAGAAAAGACUCCUUCAAUGAAGUUGACCAGAUUUGCAAACAUAGUGUUCUAUCUUAUUAGCUGCUCCUAAUGCCCCUGAAAAAAGAAUUGCAACCCACUCCUUAAACCUUGGCUCCCUAAUGCUAUGGACAAUUACUGUAUCUCUUCUAUUUUUUUCCCCCCUUUUCAAUCCCCAUUUUGACACUCCAAACUCAGAAUCUUCAUUAACAACUAAUUGCUAAUUGCAUAAUAUCUGAUUCUAUUUUUUUUCUCCUGUACACAUCUUAGGUGACCCACUAUCUUUACCUCAUUUAUUGACUCUGCCACCUUUAUAAAGUACAAGCUUUUUAACCGGGCAGUGGGAUUUCCCAUAUCAGAAUUUGUCAGAAUUGGCUUUAAAGUAAUGGUAUUUUGUAAAAGUGGCUGGUUUUCUGUGCCUCCAGAAGUGAGGUUUUCCUCGUAGGUUUUUGGAAUAGAGAGUAUACGGUUUCGAAGAUGCUCCAUGCUAUUUUUAUUUCCUGCCAUGGGAUCAACAAAAAUUAUACUAAAAUAAGUUUCAGGGUUGUGUUUGUGUAUAUAGGACCUGGUUGGGUUGCCAGUGUAAAUUUUGAAGUUGCUCAAAAUCCUUUCCCCGCGGGAAAUUGUUAUUGUGCCACAUGAUCCAACUCUGGUUCUACAUUCCUUGUUGUCACACAUUGGAUGUAUUAUCUUACUGUUCCCCUUCAAAAUUAUUUCUAAGAAGAUCCUGCAUUCCUGUUAAAAGAGGACACAGUUGUUACUGAAUCCACAUUAUCGUUGUCAUCCUCCUGUUUCAGUUCAUCCUGCGUCUUCUCAACCUCUGUCUUCUCAACCUCUGUGGCCAAAACCAACGCUAGUCGAACCUUCCCCAAAGAAAUGUUUUUCAGCUCCUCCACUGGAUCAAGUAUCCAUCACGGCAGUUGGUCCUCUCCUCUUCCACCCCUACUCCCUCUGGGCCACUUGUGUUGCCUCCUCCUGACAGACACAUUGAUGUUGAUGGGCCCACUAUGCUUGACUCCAAUCAGUGUUUCCGCCAGCGUUUGCAUUCUCUGAUGCCUUUUUUCAUUCUUAUACCCUGAAGCACUUUCCUUUUCUGCAUGUUUCUCUUUCCUUGGAGUCCCUCCGCCUUCCUCUGGGUCGCUGCAUCAGCCUGAACCCUAUCAUGCCUACGCCGCCACUCUGCCUGAACUCCUUUACCCUGUCUGGCCCAGUUACCUCCUCGUCCGGGCUCCAUUUUGCUUCAAUUAGGUGGGCAGAAUUGCAUCCUGCUGAACUGGGACCCAGUUUGACGAUGCGAGUUGACAACCUAUUUAAAUGAGGAAUUUUGAAUUUUAAAACACUCGUCAAUCUGCCUCACCCUCCUAAACUUUUGGAAGUCAACUGUAAGCAUUAAUAGGAUAAUUUGUUGAUAAGAUAUGAUCUUUCCUUGAUUUUGCUCUCAUCAAAUAUUCCUAUUAUUAGUCCGCUCCAUAUUUGUAAUCGAUGUCGAAACGUUAAUAUACAUCCUUCCCCCUUUUCCGGAAAUACCCAAAAGCUCUUCCGUUCAACACUAAAAUCGAUAUUCAAGUUUUGAUAUUUAUAAAAAAUUGAUAUUUCAACACUAAAUCGAUAUCAUCAUCCGCCAUGAUAUUUAUAAAAAAGCUAUAACUGGAAAAAAUAAACACUUUAACCAAGGGAAACCUUUUAUCGACCGGUGUGUUAUCUACAUGUGAAGUUUUACAUGUACAGAAUACCCUUGGUUUCUCCUACACGUUCUUUGUUAUCUGGAAAAAAAAUAAUGUUCUUUGUGAUUUGAUAAAUCUAGUUUUGAAUCCCGUACACAGUGAAUCAAAAAUAAAAUAUCUGAGUUCAUUCUUUGACCUGUACGUUAACAGAGCAUGGAUUACAAUUACUUGCAGCAGCAUUGGGCUAAAGAUCAUUUGGUUUUUAGGCAUGUUAAUCUAUUUGAUGGUUGUGAACAGGAAUCUCUCGAAGAAAGGAGGAGAUUGCAGGAGGUCUGUGGCACUCCUCAACGUGAUAUUGCAGAAACAACAAGCAGAUAUGCUUACACGGUAAAACUGAGUAUUUCUUGCAUAUAUUUCAAGAGUAAAAUAAGUACACAGAGAUGAUCUUACCAACGGCCAAAUUUAUUCUAUGAAUAUUUUUUUAUGUAUAAUUUCAAGGUAGUCAUGUUUUUGUAAUUUAUUCUAACAAUGUUUGGUUGUACAAUUUAUUGCUCUUGUGGUAAGUAUAUACUUAUGAAUGUUUGAUUUUGUUUAAACAAGUAUAUUAUUACAGUGUUAUAGAUUAUAUAAUAAUUUAUUUAAAAGGAAAAUGAAG
This 5426-nucleotide long non-coding RNA is filed under the name Carica papaya (papaya). Its description in RNAcentral is "long non-coding RNA (CPAP_LNC011660)". Lineage: Eukaryota; Viridiplantae; Streptophyta; Magnoliopsida; Brassicales; Caricaceae. The record is from RNAcentral.